This is an RNA transcript of Capsicum annuum, 2968 nucleotides long. RefSeq lists it as uncharacterized. The record is from RefSeq and is a predicted model, not a curated record. The transcript has 5 exons. NCBI's taxonomy places the organism in Eukaryota, Viridiplantae, Streptophyta, Magnoliopsida, Solanales, Solanaceae.
UAACCCUACUGCAUAUCAGGAAAAAACAUCUCUAACUCAUUUAUAUUGUCCACGCUCCAAAUGUCCAGCCCUGGGAGUGCGGGGAGUGUUGGGUUAAAGGACUUUCGGUGCUAAAUCCAGGAUUUUCUUACUUUUUUGAUUAUUCUUACACAUCAAGGAUGAUAUUGGUGGUAAUCGUAACGAAGAGCUCAUUGCUACCAGUGCGGCAAACCUAGGACGGAGAAUGUGAUGCUUCUUGAAUACCAUGAUCACUCACCCCUGACAUCACUUUCAAAUAAUGAUGGUAGGGUCUCGAUCUGGCGAUGAGUGUGCCGAUGAUGCUAAUGCUUUCUCAGAGAUGUAGAAUACAACAUGAGAAGGCAACUCGGAAAUCAGAGGCCGAGGCUAUUAACAAAUUACGAGUUCAAGAUCCCAGCAGGAAGAAGCGAGAAGAGAAAAUAAAGAAGCAGCGGGAAGAGUUGGCACAGGAGGAGAAGGCAGCCAAAGAGCCUCCACCAAACACUAUCAGAACGGUUAUGGGCCGUGCUGAGGAGAAGGCAGCCAAAGAUCCUCCACCAAACGCUAUCAGAACGGUUAUGGGCCGUGCUGGAACUACUGUGACGUUUUCUUCAAGAUUGACGAAGUGAUUUUUAUAAGUACGCCAAGAGAUCUUCAACCCUCAGAAUGCUCUUUUUGUUGAUUGCGCAAACAAUAACAGAAGGUUUUUCCCAAAUUGAGGUAAUCUUUUGUUUCAUUUAUGCAUGAUUCCUAGUGUUUGUUUCUUAUUUGGUUCCAAUAUGAAUGGAUGUUUCUCGACAACGAAGGGUCAUUGUGAUUUAUAGCAGAUAUACCACUCAUUAAAAUAUUUGUGAAUAUAUACUCUCGCCAUCUACCAAGUAAUUCAUAUAUAUCUGUGUCGUCUAACAAAUGGUGCAUACAUAUUUGGCCUUGUUCCCUUUUAUAUAAAUUGCUCUUAUUGUUAGAAUAUAAAUAACGCCCAUCCACAAUUUGUGUUUGCUGCAACAUCUAAGGUGAAUCUUUUACACCUUGAGUAUUUCCGUUUCUCUAGUAGAAUGAUUGCGUUAGAUUUUAUGCAUAAUUUACAAUUUGGAGUUGUGUUUCGUCGCAUAUUCUUCUUGCAAUUUGCAGGACGCAGAUCCAUUCUUGUACAAUAGCUGCAAGCAUAUACUGGAUAUGAAUGCAGAGAUGGUGGAUCGGUAUGUUCUAAGUUUGACAUUUGUUUGCGAAGUUGGGUUGUCGGGCUCUAGGAAAGAAAAAGAGUUUUGUCUGAACGAGAAAGAUACUGUCGUGGCCAUCAAGAAUCGAGAAAGGUAUGUUAAUCUUCUUAUUAGACAAACUUUAUAACAUCAAUUGCUUAGUAGACAGAGUAUUUUUUUUAAAGAUUUUGUUGAUGUAAUAACUACGUCAAAGCUCCUGUCCUUUUUUCGGUGUCUUAAUCUUUAAAGAGCUGAACUUAAUGCUUGGUGGUAGAAACAUCACUUCUACCAUCAAGCAUUAAGUCGAGAUCUUCAAGAUUAAGACACCGGAAAAAGGAUUGGAGUUUUGACGUAGUCAUUACAUCAGCAUAAAACCUUUUGAAAAAUACUCUUAUCUGCUCAUAGUGAUGUCUAAUAAGAAGGUUAACAUAUGUUUCCCGAUUCUUACUGUCCACGACAAUAUCUUUUUUGUUGGGACAAAGCUCUAUUUCUUUUCCGGAGCCCAACUGCUCUAUUCCACAGACAAACGUCAAACUAGAACAUCUUGAUCCACCGUCUCUGCAUCCAUAUACGGUUUAUGCUUGAAGAUAUCGUGCAAGAAUGGAUAUGCGUCUCCAACGUCCUCCGAAGACAACUCCAAUUUGUCCAUUGUGGAUUAAAGCUAAUGCAAUCAUCCUACCAGAGAAACGGAAAUACUCAAGGUGUACCGGGUUUACCUUUGAUGCUGCAGCAAGCACAAAUUGUAGAUGAACGUUAUUUACAUUCUACAAUGUAACAUCAACAUUUGUUAGACGACAAGGGUUUAUAUGAACCACUUGUUAGAUGGCGAGAGUAUAUAUGCAAAACUUUUUUAACCAGUCGUAUAUCUGCUCUAAAUCACAAAGUUGAAGGGUAUUUUUGACCCUUCGUUAUCGAGAAACAUCCAUCCAUUCAUAUUGAACCAAAUAAACAAAAUCAGAACUAAACACUAGCAAUUUUGCAUAAAUGAAAUAAAAAGGUUACCUUCAUUUGAGAAAAACUUUCUAUGAUUGUUUGGGCACGCAACAAAAAGAGCAUUCUGGACUUGCCGAUAAGGAUCGUCACCACUUCCCUUUCGUCCUCAUUUUCCACUGUAGCAUUUCGGUAUGGAUGGAGUCUGGAUAUCGUUCAUCCUUACUUUUGUGAUUAAUGUUCGUUUAAGGAUACUUUUGAUUGUUGGGAUCAUAUGCAUGCAUGGUUCGAGUUCUGGUAAUGCCAUACUUGUAAUACGUAAGUUGAGAUCAAAUUUGGAUAGAAUCAUUUUGAGAAUGGUAACAGUACUAUAUAUAUUUAAAUUAGAUGACGUCUACACAAGCUGUGUAAACUUAAAAAGAAGAUCUAAAAGCAGGUUGUAUAUAUGUAAUCUAACACAUCCAAAAUUGAUUCUGCUUCCUCUAGGUAUCUUGUUUACGCCAAAAUAGUAAUGCACUAAACAAUUCAUCUUCAACUUGGCGGAGAGCCAUGCAAAGCAAUUCAUCUUGAAAGGGAUUGAUCUUGACUUUUCGUAUCAGCAUCGAAGGCCAACUGUCCUGUUUGAUCUAUUAAAAUCUGUAUACUGAUCUGUGUGAGAACUUACCUUAACUGUCUUUUGGAUACACCGUGUAAUCUUCUUUGUUAGACAGCCCUUUUAAUUGUUCUCUUUUCUCUUCUAAACUCCAUUGAUGGAGCAUCUUAAUAUGGUAUCAGAGCUCGAUCCUCUUAAGAAUUAAUUCUAGUUAAUAAAAUAAGAUGUUAUUUCAUUUGUUUCUAAUGCA